UACGUAGGGUGCAAGCGUUAAUCGGAAUUACUGGGCGUAAAGCGUACGCAGGCGGUUGUGCAAGACAGAUGUGAAAUCCCCGGGCUCAACCUGGGAAUUGCAUUUGUGACUGCACGGCUAGAGUGUGUCAGAGGGGGGUAGAAUUCCACGUGUAGCAGUGAAAUGCGUAGAGAUGAUGGAGGAAUACCGAGUGGCGAAGGCAGCCCCCUGGGAUAACACUGACGCUCAUGCACGAAAGCGUGGGGAGCAAACAGG
This 255-nucleotide ribosomal RNA is filed under the name uncultured bacterium. RNAcentral describes it as "partial 16S ribosomal RNA". It matches the Rfam family "Bacterial small subunit ribosomal RNA", at positions 524 to 776 of the family's 1533-position model. The record is from RNAcentral.